This 467-nucleotide long non-coding RNA is filed under the name Gossypium raimondii (Peruvian cotton). RNAcentral's name for it is "long non-coding RNA (GRAI_LNC006060)". The record is from RNAcentral. Lineage: Eukaryota; Viridiplantae; Streptophyta; Magnoliopsida; Malvales; Malvaceae.
UUUUCUUCUCUUUUCUUCCUUUCUUUCUUCCUCCCCGAUCAGCCCCCCGCCGAUUUCUCUGCUGCUGCCGGUGCUUUCUCCGCCUGCGGUGCAACGGCCGACGACGGCGACGUGCGGUGGAGCUCUCCUUUUCUCCCUCUUUUCUUCUUUGCUUGCUCCUUUUUUUUUUAUUUUCAUGGGUAUUUUUCUUUGAUGAUUUUUUUGCUUGAUUUGCUUUCUUUGGUGGUAGUAGAUGGGAGUAUAACGGUGGUGGCGGUUUGACGACGCACGGUGGCGAUGAGGCUGCUGUUUUUGCUUGAUUUUUCUCUCAAAAAUUUUGUUAUUUUUUUUCUUUUUGCUUCCUUGCUUGGCUGCUGAAUUGGGGGUUUGAAAACCCUUUUAAAUUGUUGAUUUUUCUUCUUUUUUUGCAGGUAGCAAGUGGUUAGGGGAGAGAGAAGCCAUGCUUUAGGUCGGCUGUCGCAGUGUAG